RNAcentral lists this long non-coding RNA (490 nucleotides) under Homo sapiens (human). Its description in RNAcentral is "novel transcript". Lineage: Eukaryota; Metazoa; Chordata; Mammalia; Primates; Hominidae. The record is from RNAcentral.
AGUGAGAACCCGAUCAAGCUUUAUCAUGCAGCCCAGAAGGGUGGGGGAAAGAAAAAGAAUUAGGAGAAAAUGUUGUAAAAGUAAUGAGAUAAUAUGAGAAUGUGCUUUGGGAACUGCGAAUCUGGAGUCACUGGUCCAUGAGGAAUCUAGGAUAAGAAGAAGGAAGCUGUGAAGAAUGGUUGGCUAACAGUGCUGGCAAGGAAUUCAGAUCAACAUACCUCUCAAAAGAAUGGAAGUCUCUUAAACUCAGGAUUUGGAUUGCCAUGGGAACUUUUCAGAAUGGACUUUCACAAAAGCUUUGCUCUGAGAGCAUGGAAGUUGGCUACAACGUUGCCUGGGAACAAUACAAAGGAGGAUGGUUUUGAAUGUCAGUAACUUUUCUGAAUAUCCAGCCUACAAAAUAAAACUUUUUCUUUAAUUGUAAAGUAACAAAAGACCUCUGUAAAUAUUUGAAAAAGAAUAGAGAAAAUUAAACCAUACCAUUCAGAUA